This 249-nucleotide ribosomal RNA is filed under the name uncultured bacterium. RNAcentral describes it as "partial 16S ribosomal RNA". It matches the Rfam family "Bacterial small subunit ribosomal RNA", at positions 355 to 616 of the family's 1533-position model. RNAcentral also lists the same sequence under 1 other name. The record is from RNAcentral.
UGGGGAAUAUUGCACAAUGGGCGCAAGCCUGAUGCAGCGACGCCGCGUGAGGGAUGACGGCCUUCGGGUUGUAAACCUCUUUCAGUAGGGAAGAAGCGAAAGUGACGGUACCUGCAGAAGAAGCGCCGGCUAACUACGUGCCAGCAGCCGCGGUAAUACGUAGGGCGCAAGCGUUAUCCGGAAUUAUUGGGCGUAAAGAGCUCGUAGGCGGUUUGUCGCGUCUGCCGUGAAAGUCCGGGGCUCAACUCC